UCCUACGGGGGGCAGCAGUGAGGAAUAUUGGUCAAUGGGCGGGAGCCUGAACCAGCCAAGUCGCGUGAGGGACGACAGUCCUAUGGAUUGUAAACCUCUUUUGUCGGGGAACAAAGGCGCCCACGGGUGGGCGGAUGAGUGUACCCGAAGAAAAAGCAUCGGCUAACUCCGUGCCAGCAGCCGCGGUAAUACGGAGGAUGCGAGCGUUAUCCGGAUUUAUUGGGUUUAAAGGGUGCGCAGGCGGGAGAUCAAGUCAGCGGUAAAAUGUCGGGGCUCAACCCCGGCCGGCCGUUGAAACUGGUUUU
Molecule: ribosomal RNA, 305 nt
Filed under: uncultured bacterium
Lineage: Bacteria
Description: bacterial SSU rRNA
Rfam family: Bacterial small subunit ribosomal RNA
Source: RNAcentral